UACGUAGGGUGCAAGCGUUGUCCGGAAUUAUUGGGCGUAAAGAGCUCGUAGGCGGUGUGUCGCGUCGGCCGUGAAAACCUGCAGCUUAACUGUGGGCGUGCGGUCGAUACGGGCAUCACUGGAGUUCGGCAGGGGAGACUGGAAUUCCUGGUGUAGCGGUGAAAUGCGCAGAUAUCAGGAGGAACACCGGUGGCGAAGGCGGGUCUCUGGGCCGUAACUGACGCUGAGGAGCGAAAGCAUGGGGAGCGAACAGG
This 254-nucleotide ribosomal RNA is filed under the name uncultured bacterium. Its description in RNAcentral is "partial 16S ribosomal RNA". It matches the Rfam family "Bacterial small subunit ribosomal RNA", at positions 524 to 776 of the family's 1533-position model. The record is from RNAcentral.